RNAcentral lists this transfer RNA (75 nucleotides) under Candidatus Falkowbacteria bacterium CG10_big_fil_rev_8_21_14_0_10_43_10. Its description in RNAcentral is "tRNA-Arg". It matches the Rfam family "tRNA". From Rfam's summary of the family: Transfer RNA (tRNA) molecules are approximately 80 nucleotides in length. The record is from RNAcentral. Lineage: Bacteria; Candidatus Falkowiibacteriota.
GCUCUCAUAGUUCAACGGAUAGAACGUAGGUUUCCGGAACCUAAAAUCGAGGUUCAAUUCCUCGUGGGAGCACCA